RNAcentral lists this long non-coding RNA (1356 nucleotides) under Anas platyrhynchos platyrhynchos (common mallard). Its description in RNAcentral is "lncRNA (ENSAPLG00000023015.1)". The record is from RNAcentral. Lineage: Eukaryota; Metazoa; Chordata; Aves; Anseriformes; Anatidae.
CCUUAUAGACCCAAAUUUUAAGUUCCCGUGAAAGCUAAAUUCCAUGUUAGCAUGAUACCAUCAGUGAUUGCAGUAGAAGGAAUUUCAUUUCAGAAAUGUUAACUCUAAAAUUUAUUUUCCCACUAAAUAAAAAUAACGUGUGACUACAGCUUUUAUAUACUGAAACUCUGAAAGCAGUGUGGAACACAGCUGCUUGUCAUAUUUCUGUAAGUCAUGAGGACAUACAACAUAAUACACUAAAAUCAGCAUUUGUUACUUGAUUUUCUUGGUAUGGAUUAUGGUACUGGAAGAGAAGUAUAGAGUAAAACUCUUAGAAAUCCCAUCUGUGUUUUUGAUAACAUUCUGGAACAAGUUCAGUGGCGAUCUUAAGAUCCAUAUGGAUCUUAUUAUAGUCUUUCUUGCUAUGGGACUCUGUGAAUUGAGGUUUGUGCCCAGUGCACCGUGCCAAUAAGCACACAGAGUUGGAAUCCACACAAAAGUCUUCUUCGAGGCUUCAUCUUCAAGGCUUCAUCUUCAGUGGCUGUCCAUCUCUUUCCUGCAUUAACCAGUCUGUACACCAGUCUGAUGAUGGUACCUUGGGUAAGUUUUUUUUUUUUCUUUUUUUUUCUCUUUGUGGUUAUCUUUGCCAUCCUUAUAGGGUCAUUUCACUUUCAGAAAGCCCUCCACACCUUUCAGUGUCUUUCUGAACAACAUUACUUCAUUUGAAAUCUAUGCUUAGAACUAGUUCAUUGUAUGAAACAGUCAUGAUAGUAAUUCGUCCAGGGGAAAUUGCUUUUCCAAAGGUGGAGAAGUUAAUUAAGUGUAUAACAGGAGGAAGCUAAACCUUACUAAUUAGUGAGAAGGGUAACGAUUAUGGGAGAGAACGGAUGACACUUGGCUGAAGACGAACUCAAGAAAUUGCUUUAGCCAAAAGGAAGUUAGAAGAGUGAAUAGAAGAUGAGCUUUAAGAAAGCAAAGACUGUCGCUGUGUCCUGAUAAAUUAUACCUCAUUUAUAGUGUGUCUGCUAGAUGUUAAUCAAUAAUACGUCGGGAUGAUCCUUCACUCUUAGGCACGUAGCCUGCUCUCUGUUUUAUAGAAUUUCACUUAAAUCCUUUGGGUUCUCUCCCUGGGAGGAUGUACUAAAUGAAAGGGUAGCAACUCUUACACACAACUGUAAGAAUGUUUACAGGGGUUCUGAACUUCUGCAGUGAAGAAAGGGCAGCACCAGAGCUUGGCUCUGCUAGCCCCUUGGAAAGGCAAGGACAGUUGAUCCUGGCAGGCCUACUGACAGUGAAUUGUACAGCCAUAGCACCCAUAUCAUAGCAAAAUCAGAUGCCAAAAUAUUGGCUUCAGAUUGCUCAUCUCUUACACUGCUG